RNAcentral lists this ribosomal RNA (497 nucleotides) under uncultured bacterium. RNAcentral's name for it is "partial 16S ribosomal RNA". It matches the Rfam family "Bacterial small subunit ribosomal RNA", at positions 28 to 507 of the family's 1533-position model. The record is from RNAcentral.
GAUGAACGCUGGCGGCGUGCCUAAUACAUGCAAGUCGAGCGAACGGACGAGAAGCUUGCUUUUCUGAUGUUAGCGGCGGACGGGUGAGUAACACGUGGAUAACCUACCUAUAAGACUGGGAUAACUUCGGGAAACCGGAGCUAAUACCGGAUAAUAUUUUGAACCGCAUGGUUCAAAAGCGAAAGACGGUCUUGCUGUCACUUACAGAUGGAUCCGCGCUGCAUUAGCUAGUUGGUAAGGUAACGGCUUACCAAGGCAACGAUGCAUAGCCGACCUGAGAGGGUGAUCGGCCACACUGGAACUGAGACACGGUCCAGACUCCUACGGGAGGCAGCAGUAGGGAAUCUUCCGCAAUGGGCGAAAGCCUGACGGAGCAACGCCGCGUGAGUGAUGAAGGUCUUCGGAUCGUAAAACUCUGUUAUCAGGGAAGAACAUAUGUGUAAGUAACUGUGCACAUCUUGACGGUACCUAAUCAGAAAGCCACGGCUAACUACGUG